CUGGAAAGCAAUAAUGAGGUCUGAAGAGCAUACACUGUUCUAUAAAGCCACUGUGAACCUGCAAAAUUGAGCAUAAAACAGUAAGUGGUGGAUCAUAAUCAGCUCUGCGCUCUAUAUGCUAGCCAAGCAAUACUAAAUUAAUAACCUAACGACCAGGAUUGUGUCAUACUUGAGUUGACACUUGAAUAGGAUAGAAUUUAAAUAUGGAACAGGACACCUAAAUAUAUACCCUGUAUGUUAUAGAUAUAUAUAGCUCUGUAUGGUACAG
Pelobates cultripes (western spadefoot toad) is the source of this 268-nucleotide non-coding RNA. Lineage: Eukaryota; Metazoa; Chordata; Amphibia; Anura; Pelobatidae. The record is from the annotation of a GenBank genome assembly.